Bombyx mori (domestic silkworm) is the source of this 125-nucleotide non-coding RNA. NCBI's taxonomy places the organism in Eukaryota, Metazoa, Arthropoda, Insecta, Lepidoptera, Bombycidae. The record is from RefSeq and is marked provisional.
AAGAAAAGCGUCUUAACCAAACUGAUGUACUAGAAAACAAGUUUUGGUAAAUACAGUUCCCUUGCUCCCUACCGAAACAAUUGUUCAUUUUAGUAUGAAGGGUGGUUGGUACUAGCUCAUGUCUC